Mustela erminea (ermine) is the source of this 3911-nucleotide long non-coding RNA. RefSeq lists it as uncharacterized. NCBI's taxonomy places the organism in Eukaryota, Metazoa, Chordata, Mammalia, Carnivora, Mustelidae. The record is from RefSeq and is a predicted model, not a curated record. The transcript has 3 exons.
GAGUCUGUGGGUGACUUUCCACCGAGGGGGAGGCUGGGAGACGCGGAGGGGACGCUGCUCUCUCUGGCAGGUGGGGCCGCGUCUGCCGCUGGGGCGCAGAGGGGAUGGGGGUGCCGGAGUGGAGGGAGGAGGGGCCAGAAGUCUGGCAUCACUUGUGCUCUCCCCUCCUGCUGGCCCCUGCCGCCGUCCCAGACCUCACCAGGGACACCGCAACCUCCUGCCUGUGACCUGCACCAAGGAGGACUCCUGGCUGGCCUAGAACAUUCCAGGGAAGAUGAUUCCGCAAGUCUCAUAUCAAGCUGCCCAGAGCCAAACAGCCUAUCCUACUCUUUUCUCCUCCAGACAUCCCAUCCAGACGUCCACGGUAGGCGACGGACCCGGCUCCCCUCUGCCUCUCUGACCACCCGUGUCUCUGCCUUCUUACCCUGCGGGCUGCCCAGCGGGGUGGGGAGGCUCUGAUCACCCCAUUCCCCUGGGGGAACACAGGGCCAUGUCCUCUCGGGGAAAUGGGGGCAACGGAAGCCGUGGGUGGAUGGGUCCAGGUGACGCUCGCACACGCCGGUGACCCAGCAAGGCCGUCCCGCCCCCUUCCUAGAAGCUCCCCGCCCCGCCUCCACACCUGGAUGAGCGUCCCCGCCCAGGCGCCCCGGCCCCACACGGCGGAGCCCCACACUGCUUCAGCUUCCCUCCUGUGUCCCAGCCUAUGUGGAUCGCCACAGAACUUUCUGGACCCUCUCCGCUUUCCUAAAAUACUGUGGUGAGAUCAGGAAGCCCCACGCAUUGUAAGUACCCAGUGCAGUGGGUUCUGAAAAAGAAGACCCCCUUAUGACCAGUUAAGAAGUGGCACGUGGCCAACACCCUUGAAAGUUCCUUCACAGACCUUUCCAUCCCGUGUUCCCACCCUCCGGGGUCACCAGUCCUGGGAUGUCUGUCACCGAAAGACGGAAAAGCGUGCAACGCACUGUUUAGGACCUGGCUUGCUGUGCUCAGCAUGUCGAGGGGCAUGCGUUUGUGGCAUGGUCACGGGCUUGUGCGUCUCACAGCUUAUCUGUUCGCCUCUCAGUGGACAUUUGGGUGGUGUCCCAAGCUCUCUUUUUGGGGACAUUCUCGCACAGAUCUUCAUAUGGACAUGUGUUGUCAUUUCUUUGGAAUAAAUACCUGGGAUUAGAAUUGCUGGGUCAUGGCGUCGGGGUACCAUCAGCUCCGUAAGAAACCGCCCGUUUUCCAAGGUGGCCGUGGGGUCCUGCCCUCCAGCCUGAGCUGCACUCAGGGCUGGACACAGCUGAUCUCCCAUCAGGGAUGACCCAGCCUCCCUCCUGAGGACAGAAAGGGGUUUGCAGCAUCUCCUGGUCAUGCUCCCAUGUUCAAGGUGCUGAUGGCAUCACUGCUGGUUCUCGUCCUCCAAUUCUGAAAGCCAAGCCCUACUCUAAUGCCACAGAAGGGAAGUCCUGCUUAACUGCAAAUCCUGCCACGGGCCAGCAGUCCUGUGUAGCAGCUGACAUUACCACCCAAAGCCAAGCCUCGGGGGAGUCGUAGGAUUGGCCUGAGGCCACACGAUGUCUUCGUCAGCUUCUGCUGCUACAGCAACACCCCUCAGACUUGGGGGGCUUAAACAAGAGGGACUCAGCUCUCACAGUUCUUCAGCCUGGGCAGUCCAAGGUCAAGGUGCUGGUGGGUUCUGUGUCUGGUGAGACCUCUUCCUGGUUCACGGAUGGCCACCUUCCCAUGCUGUCCUCACCUGGCCUUUCCUUGGUGUGAGCUCAUGAAGAGAGAGCUCCCCUACCUCUUCCACUGCCUGUAAGACCCCAACCCCAUCACAAGGCCCCCACCCUCAUGACCGCAUCUAACCCUAAUUACCUCCCAAAGGCCCCACCUCCAAAUACCACCCCACAGGGGCUUAGGGCUUCCUCACAUGAAUUCUGGGGAGGGUUUAGGGCUGGCUCUGCCUGGGAUAGAAGGCUCCUGUGUGUGUCCCAAAGGAGUAGGGCCUCCCUCUACCUGCUGUGCUGUGAACAUCACCAGGACACUGUCAACUGAGUGACGACUCCCGGACUCGCCAGCAAAUCGAUGGGAAGGAAGCACCACGGCGAAGCCUCCGUCCUAGUUGGUCAGAGCGCAAGGUAAUGGGAUUUCAGACCCAGGAGUGGUCUUUGGUGCCAUUUCAGACCCCUGCACCGUGAAUCCCCCGUUAGCGAACGUGAGUACUGACGGGUGGAAGGGAGCCCUUGCUGAAUGAAUGCUACCCACAAACGCUGGGCCUGGUGUCUGCAGGGCCCUCCGCGGGCGUUCCCGCAGGUGGCCUUCUCCAUGCCUGCCCUGUGGGAUAGGUCGCUUUACCCUCAUGCUGCAGAAGAGGGUCCGGACACCAGGGCCCAGACCCCACGGGGUGGUGGGGGAGGCACAGGGACCGAUUCCGGUCUUCUCUACCUCUGCACCCUGGACUUUCCUUCAUGCCCCAUUUUUCUUUGUCCUGCACAGAAAGCGGAUCUUUCUAAGGAGAGAUAAACCCGCCAGAGCCAGGAUGAGGGUAGGGGAAAGGGGGUCCAACCACGUUGCAGGGUAGGGCCAGGUGCCUUCAUGUCCUUCUGUCCCUGGGAGUCUAAGACAAUCCCCACCAGAGAGACCAGCACGGGGUUGGUAGAAUUCUUUCCUGGACUCAAUGGGGAGAUGCCCACUGGGCUCAUCAGGGGCGCAGCACAGGGGUUGGAGUGUGCCCGCAUGGAAGGGCAGAGGGAGCUGUAUCGUCACGGGCAGCCGCUGAGAAGAGGUGCCCAGAGCCCCUCCAGGGGAGGUGGCAGGAGCUAAGUGACACGUGAGAGGAAGUGGCUUCCGGCAGCUUCCUGCACGCACACCCAAGGAGGUUCAAGUCUGAGCUGUAGGUGAAGAAUGAUUUCCCUACUAUGGCAAGAAAGGAGAAAAAAAAAAACACCCCAACAACAACGCAAAACAUCCGGCUCUGUAAUAACAGCCUUGCGUGGUGUGGGGGGCAGGGGACCCAGACACAAAACACGCCCAACGUGGAGUGGCGCUUUGGGGCAUCAGCCGCAUCCCGGAGGCCCAGGUCUGUCCUGCUACGGCCCCAGAAUGCGUUCGUUUGGGCCCGCCCAAGGACGCAGGAUUCAACCUCUCCCCUUUGUGUUAUUUGUUUUAUUUAUCUCCGCCUUGAAACCGUAGUUCUAAACACUGCAGGCCCUUGACUGCUGACUCAGCUGCCAGAGCCAAAACUCAUAAAAUCCUGUUUCCAAAAGGUCCAAUGAUUUUAUUUUCUGACCAUAAAUAUGAAAUUUAAUUAGCAGCUUGCUGCUAAUGAAGUCACCACAGAAGCCAGCCUGGAGACCGCAGAGCAGGAGCAGAGCAGGAAAAGACCAUCCCACAUUAAACAGAACCUGUGGACCUGUUAACCCUUGCCUCUCCCUCUGCCCUUCGCCACAACCCCUGAAUCCUGGAGAGCAAGGGAGCAGACUCCGAGCGGGAAGGACAAGGCGGGGCGGGGGUUGCUCACUUAGAGACUGGGAUGUGGGUCGGAUGUCCCCUCCGGUUGGUGGGAAGUUCCUGGGUACUCUGGCCUGGCUGUGUCUCCACGGCAGGGUGGGGGGGACUGGAAAGAGGCUGAACAAAAAAGAACUAAAGCUAAGGAAGAGCCCCGUUACUCUGUUUCGUUGGACACUUGGGGCUAUUCACACUUGACCAAACACAUGAAUUCCAACACCCGCCCUGCUCCUCCAACUACCCCUGGUCUCAGUUUAACUUUUAUAAAAUGGAGUCUAUAAAUAAUCUAUAAAUAGUUUAUCUAUAAAAUAGGCAUAAUGCUCACAGCUGGUGGAAUUUUAGUGAUGAUGGAACAUAAUUCUAAAGCCCGUGCCUGGAAUAUAGCAGGUGCUCAAUAAAUGGGAGCCAUCAUUAUUAAUAUC